UUUGAUAGCAUUUAUACAUGUUUAACCAUCCUCUCUUCAUGGUCAACUGAAUACACUUAACAAUAUUGUUACCCUUUCUUAAUUGGAACAAUUUCAUUAUCAACAUCAGCUUCUCUGAUCAUGCCUGGUCCAUUGUAACCUUAUUGUGACUUGCCCCUGAAUGUAAUACAGCAACAGAAAACAUGAAAUUGAUUAUAAAACAUCAGUGGCAACUGGCAAGGUGAGGGUAUAAAUCCACCAUUGUUCUAUUGAAACUUUAAAAUUAUUUUUACAAGAAACGAAAUGAAUCUUUGUUUGGAACAAAUUCUAUACUUUUUCCAGAAUGAAGAAUGAUGGUCCCAUUUAGACUCUCUUUCUUGUAUAUGAACUAUUCUUGUCAACAAAAGGAAAAUAGCAAGAGAUUGGUUACCAGUGAUAAAUAGUUGUACAGGUUGUAUAUAACCACAUGAAUUGCACCACUCAGAAAUGAUGGCUUUA
Molecule: long non-coding RNA, 477 nt
Filed under: Vitis vinifera (wine grape)
Lineage: Eukaryota; Viridiplantae; Streptophyta; Magnoliopsida; Vitales; Vitaceae
Description: long non-coding RNA (VVIN_LNC003408)
Source: RNAcentral